UCCUGGUGGCUUAGACGGUAAAGCAUCUGCCUGCAAUGCGGAAGACCUGGUUUCGAUCCUCGGGUCAGGAA
This 71-nucleotide transfer RNA is filed under the name Ovis aries (sheep). It matches the Rfam family "tRNA". Rfam says of the family: Transfer RNA (tRNA) molecules are approximately 80 nucleotides in length. Lineage: Eukaryota; Metazoa; Chordata; Mammalia; Artiodactyla; Bovidae. The record is from Rfam by way of RNAcentral.